UUUUAUUGACUAUGACCAUUUUUCUUUAUUCCAUAUGUGCUUAAUUGUAGCCUAUUGUUAUUUUAUUUAUUUUUGAAGUUUAUAAUUUAAUAUGAUAUUUUUCUUUUUCUGUUUUAUUGAAUAUGACCAUUUUUCUUUAUUCCAUAUAUGUUAAUUAUAGCCUCUUUGAUAAAAUUUAAUGAUCAAUCUCUCAUAUUUACAAUAAAUGAAAAUAGUUCUUUUAUAUCUCAUGAAUGUUUUUG
This 242-nucleotide long non-coding RNA is filed under the name Lathyrus oleraceus (garden pea). Its description in RNAcentral is "Pisum sativum (pea) long non-coding RNA (PSAT_LNC010193)". The record is from RNAcentral. Lineage: Eukaryota; Viridiplantae; Streptophyta; Magnoliopsida; Fabales; Fabaceae.